GGUCGGGUCCUGUGCGACGAGUGGCUGCGAACCGAGUCAGGGUCGGAAGACAGCAGCUCUCACCAGAACCACUCGGGUGCCGCAGACAACCUGGCCGUC
RNAcentral lists this signal recognition particle RNA (99 nucleotides) under Acidimicrobiaceae bacterium. Its description in RNAcentral is "signal recognition particle sRNA small type". It matches the Rfam family "Bacterial small signal recognition particle RNA". From Rfam's summary of the family: The signal recognition particle (SRP) is a universally conserved ribonucleoprotein involved in the co-translational targeting of proteins to membranes. Archaeal SRP consists of a 7S RNA and homologues of the eukaryotic SRP19 and SRP54 proteins. Lineage: Bacteria; Bacillati; Actinomycetota; Acidimicrobiia; Acidimicrobiales; Acidimicrobiaceae. The record is from RNAcentral.